GGUGAGGCGCGAAAGCGUGGGGAGCAAACAGGAUUAGAUACCCUGGUAGUCCACGCUGUAAACGAUGGAUACUAGGUGUGCGGGGACUGACCCCCUGCGUGCCGCAGCUAACGCAAUAAGUAUCCCACCUGGGGAGUACGAUCGCAAGGUUGAAACUCAAAGGAAUUGACGGGGGCCCGCACAAGCGGUGGAUUAUGUGGUUUAAUUCGAUGCAACGCGAAGAACCUUACCAGGGCUUGACAUCCUACUAACGAGGUAGAGAUACGUUAGGUGCCCUUCGGGGAAAGUAGAGACAGGUGGUGCAUGGUUGUCGUCAGCUCGUGUCGUGAGAUGUUGGGUUAAGUCCCGCAACGAGCGCAACCCUUAUUGUUAGUUGCUACGCAAGAGCACUCUAGCGAGACUGCCGUUGACAAAACGGAGGAAGGUGGGGACGACGUCAAAUCAUCAUGCCCCUUAUGUCCUGGGCUACACACGUAAUACAAUGGCGGCCAACAGAGGGAUGCAAAACCGCGAGGUGGAGCGAACCCCUAAAAGCCGUCCCAGUUCAGAUCGCAGUCUGCAACUCGACUGCGUGA
RNAcentral lists this ribosomal RNA (575 nucleotides) under uncultured bacterium. RNAcentral's name for it is "bacterial SSU rRNA". It matches the Rfam family "Bacterial small subunit ribosomal RNA", at positions 745 to 1323 of the family's 1533-position model. The record is from RNAcentral.